This 418-nucleotide ribosomal RNA is filed under the name uncultured bacterium. Its description in RNAcentral is "partial 16S ribosomal RNA". It matches the Rfam family "Bacterial small subunit ribosomal RNA", at positions 360 to 775 of the family's 1533-position model. The record is from RNAcentral.
AAUAUUGGACAAUGGGUGAAAGCCUGAUCCAGCCAUCCCGCGUGAAGGAUGACGGUCCUAUGGAUUGUAAACUUCUUUUGUACAGGAAUAAACCUACUCUCGUGAGAGUAGCUGCAGGUACUGUAGGAAUAAGAACCGUCUAGCUCCGUGCCAGCGGCCGCGGUAAUACGGAGGGUGCAAGCAUUAUCCGGAUUUAUUGGGUUUAAAGGGUCCGUAGGCGGACCCGUAAGUCAGUGGUGAAAUCUCAUAGCUUAACUAUUAAACUGCCAUUGAUACUGCGGGUCUUGAGUAAAUUUGAAGUGGCUUGAAUAAGUAGUGUAGCGGUGAAAUACAUAGAUAUUACUUAGAACACCAAUUGCGAAGGCAGGUCACUAAGAUUUAACUGACGCUGAUGGACGAAAGCGUGGGUAGCGAAAAG